RNAcentral lists this ribosomal RNA (253 nucleotides) under uncultured bacterium. Its description in RNAcentral is "partial 16S ribosomal RNA". It matches the Rfam family "Bacterial small subunit ribosomal RNA", at positions 524 to 776 of the family's 1533-position model. The record is from RNAcentral.
UACGAAGGGGGCUAGCGUUGCUCGGAAUCACUAGGCGUAAAGGGUGCGUAGGCGGGUCUUUAAGUCAGGGGUGAAAUCCUGGAGCUCAACUCCAGAACUGCCUUCGAUACUGGCGAUCUAGAGUCCGGAAGAGGUGAGUGGAACUCCUAGUGUAGAGGUGGAAUUCGUAGAUAUUAGGAAGAACACCAGUGGCGAAGGCGGCUCACUGGUCCGGUACUGACGCUGAGGUGCGAAAGCGUGGGGAGCAAACAGG